GAAGUGGAACACAACUACUAACCCCGUCAUGACUAAACAUGUAGGCAUAAAUCACUCCUUGAUCGUCCUUCCUGAGGAGGGACUUGUGCACAAACAGCGAACCCGGAACGGCGGGCUGAUGCGGAAUCUUAAUGGCAAUAAUGUGAUUUGCAACAGCAACAGCGAAAGAUUUUACAUGUGAGGACAGGAAAAUCCAGACAGGGGCUCUGACUCUCACAGUCAUGCAGUUAGGAGUAAGCGACACAAUCGCGACCGGAACCCAGGUUUUUAGUUUCAUCUCAUGAGUGUCAAUGACUUGGGAAACGGAGACUGCCUUCCCCAACCCAGAGAGAGCUCCAAAGAGAAGUGCAGUGUCCACACUGGUUCUGCAUUUGCAGCCUCAAGAUAUUCUGACACCACUCUAGGAUCCUGAAACAUAGGCCAGGGACUUUCUCUGUGCUGAACACCUUCCUGGGAGGCUGAGGAGUUACGGGAUCCAGGAGUGAGAGCUGCUGGCAUUGCUUUUAUUUUAUUGUCAGAGGAAUGAGCCACAGAUGCUGCAAAGUCUCCAGAAAACACUCAUUUGUCAAUCUUCAGUUCUGUGAUUGUAAAACAUGAAAAGUUCUCUUGCACUGAUCGUCCAUGUGUAAACUUAUUGCUUUAUUAUCAAUCGUUUUAAAUGGCUGGUGUACACAGCUUAGUGUUAGGGUAAAUAUCUGACAAUCACCGUGUAAGGGAAGCUGAUGAUGCACACAGAUAUGAGGCCAUCAAAUCAUCUAAUCUAGACAGUUGCAGAACGAGUUUAAAGAGGAAACUGGACACUUGUGGAAGCUGCAUUUACUCUUGAACCGUUAUGGAACAAGUUAGCACAUCCGGAAUAUUGACUUGCCAAAUGGAACACCCUGAAAGAGUUAAUUCAACCUUGCAACUAUCAACACACUCCAGGGACACAGCCGAUGAACUGAGAAAAUCUGACUAAUCUGUUUUUAUUUUUUGUGCAAUUUUUUGAGUAAUCUGAACAACAUACUCUUUCCCCAGUUCCUUUUCUCCUUUGAAACCUGGGCAGAACUAAUGAUUUUUAAAAACUAGACUGCAGAAGGUAAUUGGAAUAGAUCAAGUAUUAAUAAAAGUAUUGCCUUCAUAGUGUUCAGGUUAAUGCUUGAAAUGUACAGCAGUCACUUUAGAAACUUGCCUAUGCAUUUUUUUAUUGAUGUCCCUGGAAAUACACGUUUUGGUUAAUAAUUUAAAGCAAAAAUUAUUAAGCAAUUAAACAAAACAUCAAAAAUAGAAAUAAACUAUUUGAUUCUACUAAAUCAAAUAUUUAAAAUUCUAUCAAAAAUAGAAUUUUCCCAUGAUUUUAAGUGAUCUGCUGAUAAACUCUCUUGCAAAUCAUUCUUAAACUCCUAAAUGUUUUCUUUCAUGAAGAAAGAAAAAGGAAAAGGAAAAUAAAGCAGGUGGCUGAGCACCAUUUUAAGAUA
Homo sapiens (human) is the source of this 1457-nucleotide long non-coding RNA. RefSeq annotates it as TENM3 antisense RNA 3. Lineage: Eukaryota; Metazoa; Chordata; Mammalia; Primates; Hominidae. The record is from RefSeq and is a predicted model, not a curated record. The transcript is spliced from 3 exons.